GACAGAGGGUGCAAACGUUGCUCGGAAUUACUGGGCGUAAAGGGCGUGUAGGCGGGAAGGCAAGUCGGGCGUGAAAGCCCCAGGCUCAACCUGGGAACUGCACUCGAAACUGCCUUUCUUGAGUGCCGGAGAGGAAAGCGGAAUUCCUGGUGUAGGGGUGAAAUUCGUGAGGAUAUCAGGAGGAACACCAGUGGCGAAGGCGGCUUUCUGGACGGUAACUGACGCUGAGACGCGAAAGCGUGGGGAGCAAACAGG
Molecule: ribosomal RNA, 255 nt
Filed under: uncultured bacterium
Lineage: Bacteria
Description: partial 16S ribosomal RNA
Rfam family: Bacterial small subunit ribosomal RNA
Source: RNAcentral